AAACUGCUUCAUACUUGUCCCCAGAUCUUCAAUUACUCACUGGAAAAUAAAACAAACACACAAAAAACUACACAAACCCUAAAUACCCUUUUCUUGAAAUAAGCUACAGAAGCAAGUCAGCAACUGAGCUUAGCAAAAAACUGAAGCAGAUCUUGAAACCCUUAAAGAAAGUGGGGGUAUGAGUUAAAAACUAGGUAGAGAGCACAGUAAAGAAGCAGCUUUUUGGCUACUUCAAGAUCUCUGUAAGAGCUCAAGUUGGCUAUUUCAGUAGAUCUCUUUCUCUCUCUUUCUCUCAGCUGUACUUUUUUCCCUUUUUCUUUUCUUUUUCUUUUUCACUGAUUUUCUUUUUCACAUAUUGAAAGCUACAGAAGAAAGGAAAGACCAAAAAAGAAAGAGGGGACCCCAAGAAUUUAAGGAAGCUAGAAGUGAAAGAUUGUGU
RNAcentral lists this long non-coding RNA (439 nucleotides) under Nicotiana benthamiana. RNAcentral's name for it is "long non-coding RNA (NBEN_LNC002464)". The record is from RNAcentral. Lineage: Eukaryota; Viridiplantae; Streptophyta; Magnoliopsida; Solanales; Solanaceae.